RNAcentral lists this long non-coding RNA (2697 nucleotides) under Olea europaea subsp. europaea. The record is from RNAcentral. Lineage: Eukaryota; Viridiplantae; Streptophyta; Magnoliopsida; Lamiales; Oleaceae.
CAAGUUUUUUAUUCUAGAGAAAGUAAUACGUCUAGUUGGUAUAUUAUAUUGAAGGCACCUCCUAGAGGAUUUCAUGAGUCAGAAAAUUUUGAUGAUGAUGCUUAUACUCCAUCCACAUUAGAUGCAUCAUUAAGACUUGAUAUGACUGUUGAAGAUGAAAGUUACGUGAGAUAUGACUGUGAUGGCAUUGAUAUUGAAUAUGGUAAUUGUAUAGAUUUAAGAUUCUCUCUUUCUUGCAUUAUAUUUUAUUGAUAUUACAUUAAUGUUAAUGUCUCUAAUUCUAUUCUUUCUUAAUUUAUUUAUGUAGAUGCAAAUGAUGAAAGCUGACUUUUGUGGAAACUGACGUGCAAAAUGACUGGACAUAAUAUGCAAAAUCUUGGUGAAGUAAGUUAUGAGGUUGUGUAUAAAGGUUUCAAAUGUCUUCAUGUUAAAUUUAAGAAAAAAUUAUGAUUUCUUAUUUGUGCAAUGCAGUCAUCUACUCAGGGAUACAAGAAAUCAAAAUGAGCUAAAAAAGCUUCGGUUGUUGUUGCCACAAGAGAAGGAAAUGAAGGCAUAAGAAUAUCAGAGAGAGGUUUUAAUUCUGUGCAACAUGAUGCAGAAGUCUUGCUAAAUAGCUUCAGUACUACUGAAAAAGGAAAGAAAGGAAGGGGUCGAGCAAAGUUGAACUAUCUCAACAAGGGAAAAUGUACAAAGUUAACUGUAGAAUUUAAUGAAAGAGGGCAACCAAUUUGUAAAGGAUCAAAUAAGUUAUCAUCGUUCUUUGGAACCACGGCUAGGGAACUUAUACCUAUUACAAAGAAAAAUUGGAAAGAUUUCAACGAAAGUUUUCUUUAUGACAUAUGGGAGUUUGUGCAGGUGAUAUAAACCUCACAUCACAUAUAGUGUAAAUUAAAUUAUUAUUAAUCUUGUGUAUUUUGAUGUAGCAAAGGUUUGAUAUUGACAUUUGUCAUAGAAAGUACAUUAUGCAAAAAUUGGGAAAGAGUUGGAGGGAUCAUCGAUCUGAUAUGCUAAAAACAAUCAGCAACAAAGGAAGAAAAAUUGGCAGACACGAGUUGCUGCUCUUCUCAAGCCAAAUAAUGUUGACUCAAUGGAAGAAUGGUAAGCAUUUGUCAAAUAACGCAAUUCUCAACCAUACAAGGUAUGUUCCAUUGCUCUUAUAUACUGAAUGUGCAUGUUAUAAGUUACUGUGGGCAAACCAGAUGAAUAUUCUUUUAUAUUGUGAAUGGGUAAUGAUUGUAAUGGUGUUACAUAUCCUUUCUAUAAUGAAUUAAGUUGUUAGAUGAUGAUUUCCUAUAGGUUCCUAGCUCUUCCUACUACUUUCACUUUCGUUAACAAAAAAGAAAGUAUAACACUAUCCAUAAUGUUGUGUUUAUACAAUAAUUUUCAAAUUUUGCAGGAAAAAAAUGAUAGGUUUAAAAAUAUGAGAGCUAGUCAAACUAUGUUGCAUACAACGAGUAGAAAAGGCUUUGCCUGCUUAGAAGCAGAAAUGGUAAAAUUUAUGUUAAAUUAUAAGUUAAAUUGGCUUGAAAAUUUGUCAAUGUGUACAAACUAUCAUGUAUACGAAAUGGGUAAAACAAAUUGCAGCACUUGAUUCCAUUACGAGAGAUGAUAUUUAUAUUCGAGGACGUAGGUGAAAAAAUGGUGAAUCAAUUAAUGAAUCAGUUGGAGAAACAUUGGUAACGAAUUUGUUCUUUGAAUUUUCUUCUGGUAAUUCAAAGUUUAUAUUUGCAUUACUUUAAACCAUUAAUGUAUUUCUUGAUAUUAGUAAAAAAUAAAAACUUGUUCAUAAACAGUUACCUCUCCAAGUAAACAAUCUCUCAUAGAUGAUGGUGUUGCAAGAAUACUUGGUCUGGAACGUCGAGGAUGAGUAAGAGGGCUUGGCUCCGGUGCAACUCCUUCAAAGUUGAAUGCUUUGGUACAAAGUCAGAACUUGCAAACUCAAGUACAAGAGUUAAGAGAUGAAAUUAAAGAAUUGAAAGCUUUAUUUCAACAGAAGAGUAAAAGUGUUGAACAAGAAAAUGUAAGUGCGAAACUAUCGUUACUGGUUGAUAUUCUAUACUUUAUAUUCUUUUCUAUAUUCAAAUUAUCAAAUUGUACUUUCAUAUGAAUUUUACAACAUAGUGAUAGAAGCUCGAAUGGUUUAGAUAAUUAUCAGAGUAAGAAAUGCAAAUUGUUACGUUGGUUUGGGAAAGCUAAUGUAGUUGCAAAAAGUGAAAUCGUAUCAACAAAUCCUUGUGAUCUAAUGCAUCAUGUAUCCCUUGGCGAUGAAUGUUGGAGAGUUUGGGUUAAUGAAGUUAUUGACAAUGUUACCUUAUAUCGUCCCACACGGGAACUAUUUCUUCUUGAAGAUGCAUUAAGAAGUACAAUUGCAUGGCCAAUCAAGUUUAUCAAAAUGGAUUAAUUGUAAGAAAAACAAAUGUAUGCUUCACUUGGUUUUUAUAUCAUUUUUCAUUUGUAUACUCACUUUAAUUUAUUAACUAUACAUUCAUUUAUUUUUGUGAUGUGCAAGGAGUUGCUUAUUUUUGGGACAACAAAAUUGCUGAUCAAAUUAAUCAAAAUCGAAGUGGAUCAAUUAUUUUGUACUAUUUUAAUUAUUUAUUUUUGGAUUAGUUGCCUAUACUUUUGAAUAUUGAUAUCAACUAUUUGAGUAGGCUAAUGAUGUUCUUAGUUCGUUUCAAAAUUAACUCUACAUUUUAA